Molecule: long non-coding RNA, 545 nt
Organism: Heterocephalus glaber (naked mole-rat)
Lineage: Eukaryota; Metazoa; Chordata; Mammalia; Rodentia; Bathyergidae
Source: Ensembl
CCGUGAUGUGUUCAGGCAUGAUAUACUUAUGUCUGUUUAUACUAAAGCCUAACUAGCCUAUCUUACUCCACUAGUUGAAGAUGGCACCAACCCAGUCUAACAGAGUCAGUUCUCUUUUCUAAUUCCGGCCAGACUAGAGCAAAAGAGCUGGAAUCAAAGGAGAAAGAGAGAGAAAUGGAAGAGCAAACAAUAGCCUUCUACCCUCCAUUUCCAGCACAAGCUGGAGGCAAACAAAAAGAUGAGAUUGGAGCUCAACUGGUAGAAAAAAAGUCCGUAACUCAAAGGAGAUCAGCUACUUCUGCAGCAGGCCCUAUGCUAAUUACUUUAUAAGUACUCAUUCUUUCAACUUACACCAGCUCUAUGAGCCUAUUCAAGUGAGUCUUCAGCAGUUCUAGCUGAAACAUUUACUGAACACAAUCAGGAUUUCAAACUGAAAAAUCAGAAGCAAGGAAGAAUUUCCACGGCAUGGACCCUGGCUGAUAAUAAAAAUCCACAGCUCAGGGAGGACAGGGCCUUCCACCAUGCUGUUUCUGCAUUUGAACCUG